UGGGGGAUAUUGCACAAUGGGCGCAAGCCUGAUGCAGCGACGCCGCGUGAGGGAUGACGGCUUUCGGGUUGUAAACCUCUUUCGACACGGAACAAGGCUCUGCUUUUGUGGGGUUGAGGGUACGUGUAUAAGAAGCGCCGGCUAACUACGUGCCAGCAGCCGCGGUAAUACGUAGGGCGCGAGCGUUGUCCGGAAUUAUUGGGCGUAAAGAGCUCGUAGGCGGCUUGUCGCGUCUGCUGUGAAAAUGCGGGGCUUAACUCCGCACGUGCAGUGGGUACGGGCAGGCUAGAGUGCGGUAGGGGUGACUGGAAUUCCUGGUGUAGCGGUGGAAUGCGCAGAUAUCAGGAGGAACACCGAUGGCGAAGGCAGGUCACUGGGCCGUUACUGACGCUGAGGAGCGAAAGCAUGGGGAGCGAACAGG
Molecule: ribosomal RNA, 421 nt
Filed under: uncultured bacterium
Lineage: Bacteria
Description: bacterial SSU rRNA
Rfam family: Bacterial small subunit ribosomal RNA
Source: RNAcentral